GGUUCCAUGUGGUGUAAUGGUUAGCACUCUGGACUCUGAAUCCAGCGAUCGAGAGUUCAAAUCUCGGUGGAACCU
RNAcentral lists this transfer RNA (75 nucleotides) under Pangasianodon hypophthalmus (striped catfish). RNAcentral's name for it is "tRNA-Gln". It matches the Rfam family "tRNA". Rfam says of the family: Transfer RNA (tRNA) molecules are approximately 80 nucleotides in length. Their secondary structure includes four short double-helical elements and three loops (D, anti-codon, and T loops). The record is from RNAcentral. Lineage: Eukaryota; Metazoa; Chordata; Actinopteri; Siluriformes; Pangasiidae.